UCUCCGUUGGUGAGCCAGCGGAGGGAUCAUUACAGAGUUUUCACAACUCCCAACCCUUGCGAACCGUACCCAUUCUGUUCUCGUUGCGUCCGGCGGGGGGGACGGGGGGGACCGAAACGGCCCCCCCGCCCCGCCCGCCGGGGGCGGCGGGCCCUACGAACCUUUCUUUCUCAACCAACAGAAACCGAAUGAGAAAACGAAACAAAAAAUCAAACAUUUUAACAACAGAUCUCCUGGCUCUGGCAUCGAAUAAGAACGCAGCAGUACGGAAGAGCAAAC
Molecule: unclassified non-coding RNA, 279 nt
Filed under: plant metagenome
Description: partial contains small subunit ribosomal RNA, internal transcribed spacer 1, and 5.8S ribosomal RNA
Source: RNAcentral